AGUUAAACUUAUAUAUUAAUACGAAGUAUUUAUGGCGAAACUCCCGAGGGAACAGUACUAGUUGAAGACCUUAGAAAUAAUCACAGAUUUAUCUGUGCAGUAUUUCUGGCUGAAACUGUACCCUGGGAAAGGGAGCCCCUACAAUAC
RNAcentral lists this unclassified non-coding RNA (147 nucleotides) under Staphylococcus sp. 8AQ. Its description in RNAcentral is "tsr24". It matches the Rfam family "S. aureus tsr24 small RNA", at positions 99 to 210 of the family's 238-position model. Lineage: Bacteria; Bacillati; Bacillota; Bacilli; Caryophanales; Staphylococcaceae. The record is from RNAcentral.